RNAcentral lists this ribosomal RNA (2929 nucleotides) under Escherichia coli. Its description in RNAcentral is "bacterial LSU rRNA". It matches the Rfam family "Bacterial large subunit ribosomal RNA". The record is from RNAcentral. Lineage: Bacteria; Pseudomonadati; Pseudomonadota; Gammaproteobacteria; Enterobacterales; Enterobacteriaceae.
GGGUUGUGAGGUUAAGCGACUAAGCGUACACGGUGGAUGCCCUGGCAGUCAGAGGCGAUGAAGGACGUGCUAAUCUGCGAUAAGCGUCGGUAAGGUGAUAUGAACCGUUAUAACCGGCGAUUUCCGAAUGGGGAAACCCAGUGUGUUUCGACACACUAUCAUUAACUGAAUCCAUAGGUUAAUGAGGCGAACCGGGGGAACUGAAACAUCUAAGUACCCCGAGGAAAAGAAAUCAACCGAGAUUCCCCCAGUAGCGGCGAGCGAACGGGGAGGAGCCCAGAGCCUGAAUCAGUGUGUGUGUUAGUGGAAGCGUCUGGAAAGGCGCGCGAUACAGGGUGACAGCCCCGUACACAAAAAUGCACAUAUUGUGAGCUCGAUGAGUAGGGCGGGACACGUGGUAUCCUGUCUGAAUAUGGGGGGACCAUCCUCCAAGGCUAAAUACUCCUGACUGACCGAUAGUGAACCAGUACCGUGAGGGAAAGGCGAAAAGAACCCCGGCGAGGGGAGUGAAAAAGAACCUGAAACCGUGUACGUACAAGCAGUGGGAGCACAGAGCAAUCUGUGUGACUGCGUACCUUUUGUAUAAUGGGUCAGCGACUUAUAUUCUGUAGCAAGGUUAACCGAAUAGGGGAGCCGAAGGGAAACCGAGUCUUAACUGGGCGUUAAGUUGCAGGGUAUAGACCCGAAACCCGGUGAUCUAGCCAUGGGCAGGUUGAAGGUUGGGUAACACUAACUGGAGGACCGAACCGACUAAUGUUGAAAAAUUAGCGGAUGACUUGUGGCUGGGGGUGAAAGGCCAAUCAAACCGGGAGAUAGCUGGUUCUCCCCGAAAGCUAUUUAGGUAGCGCCUCGUGAAUUCAUCUCCGGGGGUAGAGCACUGUUUCGGCAAGGGGGUCAUCCCGACUUACCAACCCGAUGCAAACUGCGAAUACCGGAGAAUGUUAUCACGGGAGACACACGGCGGGUGCUAACGUCCGUCGUGAAGAGGGAAACAACCCAGACCGCCAGCUAAGGUCCCAAAGUCAUGGUUAAGUGGGAAACGAUGUGGGAAGGCCCAGACAGCCAGGAUGUUGGCUUAGAAGCAGCCAUCAUUUAAAGAAAGCGUAAUAGCUCACUGGUCGAGUCGGCCUGCGCGGAAGAUGUAACGGGGCUAAACCAUGCACCGAAGCUGCGGCAGCGACGCUUAUGCGUUGUUGGGUAGGGGAGCGUUCUGUAAGCCUGUGAAGGUGUGCUGUGAGGCAUGCUGGAGGUAUCAGAAGUGCGAAUGCUGACAUAAGUAACGAUAAAGCGGGUGAAAAGCCCGCUCGCCGGAAGACCAAGGGUUCCUGUCCAACGUUAAUCGGGGCAGGGUGAGUCGACCCCUAAGGCGAGGCCGAAAGGCGUAGUCGAUGGGAAACAGGUUAAUAUUCCUGUACUUGGUGUUACUGCGAAGGGGGGACGGAGAAGGCUAUGUUGGCCGGGCGACGGUUGUCCCGGUUUAAGCGUGUAGGCUGGUUUUCCAGGCAAAUCCGGAAAAUCAAGGCUGAGGCGUGAUGACGAGGCACUACGGUGCUGAAGCAACAAAUGCCCUGCUUCCAGGAAAAGCCUCUAAGCAUCAGGUAACAUCAAAUCGUACCCCAAACCGACACAGGUGGUCAGGUAGAGAAUACCAAGGCGCUUGAGAGAACUCGGGUGAAGGAACUAGGCAAAAUGGUGCCGUAACUUCGGGAGAAGGCACGCUGAUAUGUAGGUGAAGUCCCUCGCGGAUGGAGCUGAAAUCAGUCGAAGAUACCAGCUGGCUGCAACUGUUUAUUAAAAACACAGCACUGUGCAAACACGAAAGUGGACGUAUACGGUGUGACGCCUGCCCGGUGCCGGAAGGUUAAUUGAUGGGGUUAGCGGUAACGCGAAGCUCUUGAUCGAAGCCCCGGUAAACGGCGGCCGUAACUAUAACGGUCCUAAGGUAGCGAAAUUCCUUGUCGGGUAAGUUCCGACCUGCACGAAUGGCGUAAUGAUGGCCAGGCUGUCUCCACCCGAGACUCAGUGAAAUUGAACUCGCUGUGAAGAUGCAGUGUACCCGCGGCAAGACGGAAAGACCCCGUGAACCUUUACUAUAGCUUGACACUGAACAUUGAGCCUUGAUGUGUAGGAUAGGUGGGAGGCUUUGAAGUGUGGACGCCAGUCUGCAUGGAGCCGGCCUUGAAAUACCACCCUUUAAUGUUUGAUGUUCUAACGUUGGCCCCUGAUCGGGGUUGCGGACAGUGUCUGGUGGGUAGUUUGACUGGGGCGGUCUCCUCCUAAAGAGUAACGGAGGAGCACGAAGGUUGGCUAAUCCUGGUCGGACAUCAGGAGGUUAGUGCAAUGGCAUAAGCCAGCUUGACUGCGAGCGUGACGGCGCGAGCAGGUGCGAAAGCAGGUCAUAGUGAUCCGGUGGUUCUGAAUGGAAGGGCCAUCGCUCAACGGAUAAAAGGUACUCCGGGGAUAACAGGCUGAUACCGCCCAAGAGUUCAUAUCGACGGCGGUGUUUGGCACCUCGAUGUCGGCUCAUCACAUCCUGGGGCUGAAGUAGGUCCCAAGGGUAUGGCUGUUCGCCAUUUAAAGUGGUACGCGAGCUGGGUUUAGAACGUCGUGAGACAGUUCGGUCCCUAUCUGCCGUGGGCGCUGGAGAACUGAGGGGGGCUGCUCCUAGUACGAGAGGACCGGAGUGGACGCAUCACUGGUGUUCGGGUUGUCAUGCCAAUGGCACUGCCCGGUAGCUAAAUGCGGAAGAGAUAAGUGCUGAAAGCAUCUAAGCACGAAACUUGCCCCGAGAUGAGUUCUCCCUGACUCCUUGAGAGUCCUGAAGGAACGUUGAAGACGACGACGUUGAUAGGCCGGGUGUGUAAGCGCAGCGAUGCGUUGAGCUAACCGGUACUAAUGAACCGUGAGGCUUAACCUUACAACGCCGAAG